CUUCAGCUUUGGUGCAGUGGUAGCACAUCAGUCUCAUAAGCUGAAGGUCCUGAGUUCGAUCCUCAGUAAGGAGGG
Monodelphis domestica (gray short-tailed opossum) is the source of this 75-nucleotide non-coding RNA. The record is from the annotation of a RefSeq genome assembly. Lineage: Eukaryota; Metazoa; Chordata; Mammalia; Didelphimorphia; Didelphidae.